GGGUCUGUCCAUUGGUCGGGCUUUACGGUCCGGACUGGUGAGCUGGGUUCCUACCUUCUGAAUAACCGGCAUGCCAUUCAGUUUGUGCGCCGGGGAAGCAGAGCUAUUACCUUGAAAAAAUUAGAGUGCUUAAAGCAGGCUAUUGCUUGAAUAGAUUAGCAUGGAAUAAUAAAAUAGGACGGCAUGGUUCUAUUUUGUUGGUUUCUAGGAUCACCGUA
Molecule: ribosomal RNA, 218 nt
Filed under: Glomeromycotina sp.
Lineage: Eukaryota; Fungi; Glomeromycota
Description: partial small subunit ribosomal RNA
Rfam family: Eukaryotic small subunit ribosomal RNA (bases 93-218)
Source: RNAcentral